UGGACUUUAUUUGCGCAGCAUAGGUGGGAGGCAUUGAGUUUAUUCUUGCGGGAAUUUAGGAGCCAUCAGUGAGAUACCACUCUGGUAAUGUUAGAUUUCUAACUUUGUAUCAUGAUCUGGUCAAAGAACAGUUUCAGGCGGGCAGUUUGACUGGGGCGGUCGCCUCCCAAAUGGUAACGGAGGCGUACAAAGGUUUCCUCUGAACGUGUAGAAAUCGUAUCUAGAGUGUAAAGGCAUAAGGAAGCUUGACUGUGAGACCUACAAGUCGAGCAGGGACGAAAGUCGGUCUUAGUGAUCUGACGGUGCUGAGUGGAAAGGCCGUCACUCAACGGAUAAAAGUUACUCUAGGGAUAACAGGCUGAA
This 363-nucleotide ribosomal RNA is filed under the name uncultured eukaryote. RNAcentral describes it as "LSU rRNA". It matches the Rfam family "Bacterial large subunit ribosomal RNA", at positions 2124 to 2486 of the family's 2925-position model. The record is from RNAcentral.